Molecule: non-coding RNA, 73 nt
Organism: Pangasius djambal
Lineage: Eukaryota; Metazoa; Chordata; Actinopteri; Siluriformes; Pangasiidae
Source: the annotation of a GenBank genome assembly
GCAGUAGUGGCUCAGUGGUUAAGGUUCUAGGCUACUAAUCAGGAGGUUCUGAGGUUGAAUCCCAGCACCACCA